AGGACGAACGCUGGCGGCGUGCUUAACACAUGCAAGUCGAGCGGAAAGGCCCUUCGGGGUACUCGAGCGGCGAACGGGUGAGUAACACGUGAGCAACCUGCCCUUAGCUUCGGGAUAGCUCCGGGAAACCGGAAUUAAUACCGAAUAUGACUUUGGCUGACAUCAGCAGAAGUGGAAAGUUUUUCGGCUAGGGAUGGACUCGCGGCCUAUCAGCUAGUUGGUGAGGUAACGGCCCACCAAGGCGACGACGGGUAGCCGGCCUGAGAGGGCGACCGGCCACACUGGGACUGAGACACGGCCCAGACUCCUACGGGAGGCAGCAGUGGGGAAUAUUGCGCAAUGGGCGAAAGCCUGACGCAGCGACGCCGCGUGGGGGAUGAAUGCCUUCGGUUGUAACCCCUUUCAGCAGGGACGAAGCGAAAGUGACGGUACCUGCAGAAGAAGCGCCGGCUAACUACGCGCCAGCAGCCGC
RNAcentral lists this ribosomal RNA (472 nucleotides) under uncultured bacterium. RNAcentral describes it as "SSU rRNA". It matches the Rfam family "Bacterial small subunit ribosomal RNA", at positions 26 to 518 of the family's 1533-position model. The record is from RNAcentral.